This 330-nucleotide ribosomal RNA is filed under the name uncultured bacterium. Its description in RNAcentral is "bacterial SSU rRNA". It matches the Rfam family "Bacterial small subunit ribosomal RNA", at positions 568 to 898 of the family's 1533-position model. The record is from RNAcentral.
UCUGUAGGCGGUGCGGCAAGUCGGGAGUGAAAUCUCAGGGCUUAACUCUGAGUCUGCUUUCGAAACUGCCGUGCUGGAGUGCGGGAGAGGUGAGUGGAAUUGCAGGUGUAGCGGUGAAAUGCGUAGAUAUCUGCAGGAACACCAGAGGCGAAGGCGGCUCACUGGACCGCAACUGACGCUGAGAGACGAAAGCUAGGGGAGCAAACAGGAUUAGAUACCCUGGUAGUCCUAGCCCUAAACCAUCAGGACUUGGCGUGGGUCCCGUUCGGGGCCCGUGUCGGAGCUAACGCGUGAAGUCCUGCGCCUGGGGAGUACGGUCGCAAGGCUGAA